RNAcentral lists this ribosomal RNA (875 nucleotides) under Allographa chrysocarpa. Its description in RNAcentral is "SSU rRNA". It matches the Rfam family "Bacterial small subunit ribosomal RNA", at positions 339 to 1221 of the family's 1533-position model. The record is from RNAcentral. Lineage: Eukaryota; Fungi; Ascomycota; Lecanoromycetes; Ostropales; Graphidaceae.
CUUGGAGGAAUGUAUGGGGAAAACUGGUAAAAUGUGAUGUACCUGGUAGUAUUAGAGAUUGAUACGAUAUUAACAAAGUUAAUUAAAAUUCUAUGUAGGUAUUGAUUAUGACAAUAUUUGCUUAUUUCUUGACCAAGUCACGUGCCAGCAGUCGCGGCAAUACGUGGUAGAUUAGUGUUAUUCAUCUUUAAUAGGUUUAAAGGGUACCUAGACGGUUAAUUAGACAUAAAAAGUGUACUAUAAUUAACUAGAGUUUAAUGUAAGAAGGAUUGAGUACGGUGAGUGUAGAGAUAAAAUUCUGUCAUACCACUUAAGGAACUGGUAAAGGCGAAGGCAACCUUUUAUGUAAAAACUGACGUUAAGGGACGAAGGCUCGAAUUAAGUAACAGGAUUAGAUACCCUAGUAUUGUGGGCAGACAAUGAUGAGUGUCAUAUGCAAGACAUGAUGGAUUCGCUUUUGUAUUUAUUAUAUGAAAGUAAAUAUCGUUUUUGUGUAUAAAUGAAAGUGUAAGCACUCCACCUCAAGAGUAACGUGGCAACAUGGGAACUGAAAUCAUUAGACCGUUUCUGAAACUCGUAGUGAAGUAUGUUGUUUAAUUUGUUAAUCCUCAAAGAACCUUACCACAAUUUGUAUAACUUGAACAUAAGAUAUAAGCACUUAUAUAAAUACCUAUAUAAGUAUCUAUAUAUUAUAUCUAGUACAAGUUACAAGCGUUGCACGGCUGUCUUCAGUUAAUGUUGUGAAACUUUGGUUAGAUCCAUUUAAUUGACGUAAACCCUUACUUUAUUUAUUAUAAAGUAGUUCGCCGCUAUAUUGGUAGUGAUAUAAGGGACUAGGAUAAGUCAUCAUGACCCGAACAUUGUGGGCUAUAGAC